UAAAUUUAUGUAAUUUGACAAUUAAUCUACCUCAUGUGCUUGCAGAUAUGUAUUCAAUUCCUACCACCGUAGUGGAAGAGAGGCUAUCCCUAUCUUUACAACUGAUAGCAUUUCCAACAGUAAGCUGUGAGAUUCUGCUUGAAAUCACCUCUCAAACAAAUAAAAAACAGACCUGGGAGACACGCUACACUCAUUCUGCUGAAGAAAUAGGCAUUCAUACUUGGGGAAACAGGGAUUUCACAGACCCAGGCUUGUUCCCUACAUAAUGUUUCCUCCUCCGACAUCAGUUCAUCAGUCAAUCAAGUCAUGUGAGAGUGGAGGCCUUGUAUUCCCUAUUAUUCUUGGGCACUCUCCUCCAAGGAGGGAAAGGCCAGGAGGUCCUUUUAGAGGAUGCACUCUGAGAGCCCGGGCUCCCUAAGGUAUGAGAGUUCUAACCAGCAGGUUAGACUUUUCAGGAGUGAGGAAUGAGGCAGGCAUUCCAAACCGGUACCUUCAUUACCUUUUGUUUCAUCUCAAGACAAUUCUGAGGGGCUGUUUUGGAGCGUGUCUGGAAGGUGAACGUUGAAGAAGAGUGUGGGCUUUGAUAUGACUCAGUUGAGAUCUUUCAUGGGGAGGCAGGAAUUCAAUGCCCAGAAUCUGGGCUGGUGUCUUUGAGGUCAGUAGGUUGCAUCUUUUUAUCCAAGUCCGUUGUUACUAGGUUGGAGGCUGGAGAUUCUAAAUGGCUUCCAGACUGCCUCUCUGAUUCUCUUUGGGAGAUGUGGUCUGAAAGACAAUGUCAGUAUUUUUGGGAAAUUCUAGAAAGUCUGCUUGGAAACGUGGGAAGAGCUCUUGCCUAGUGCCUAAAUGCUCCAUUUGCAGCUCUAGCCAAGUAGAUACUUGGUAGGUAUAGAGCCGGGUUUGCAUUUAUAUCAGCAAAACCUAUGUCAGAGUUGAAGAAGUAGUCAGGAAAAAGUGUAUUGGUCACAGGCCGGGAACAUCUUAA
RNAcentral lists this long non-coding RNA (982 nucleotides) under Pan troglodytes (chimpanzee). RNAcentral describes it as "lincRNA". Lineage: Eukaryota; Metazoa; Chordata; Mammalia; Primates; Hominidae. The record is from RNAcentral.